RNAcentral lists this ribosomal RNA (427 nucleotides) under uncultured bacterium. Its description in RNAcentral is "bacterial SSU rRNA". It matches the Rfam family "Bacterial small subunit ribosomal RNA", at positions 355 to 774 of the family's 1533-position model. The record is from RNAcentral.
UAGGGAAUAUUGGACAAUGGGCGCAAGCCUGAUCCAGCAAUGCCGCGUGCAGGAUGAAGGCCUUCGGGUUGUAAACUGCUUUUGUACGGAACGAAAAGACUCUCUCUAAUACAGGGGGUUGACGACGGUACCGUAAGAAUAAGGAUCGGCUAACUCCGUGCCAGCAGCCGCGGUAAUACGUAGGGUGCAAGCGUUAAUCGGAAUUACUGGGCGUAAAGCGUGCGCAGGCGGUCUUGUAAGACAGAUGUGAAAUCCCCGGGCUCAACCUGGGACCUGCAUUUGUGACUGCAAGGCUGGAGUACGGCAGAGGGGGAUGGAAUUCCGCGUGUAGCAGUGAAAUGCGUAGAUAUGCGGAGGAACACCGAUGGCGAAGGCAAUCCCCUGGGCCUGCACUGACGCUCAUGCACGAAAGCGGGGGGAGCAAACA